UAGGAUCUUGGGUUGACUAAGCACCCUUCUCUUUAUCAGCCACCAUUUUACCCUUUUGCAUAAACCACAUCGAAUGAUUAGUCACAAUUUCGAUCAAUAUCAAAGUUUUGAAAAAAUGAAUAAAGUGUACUAACUCGUUCGUCAACAGCUCCUAUUGUGAAUUGAUCGGAAGGUUAUGAUAAUAAUGAAAUAAAGUGAAGCAAAACAAGAACACAAAGAUUUUACGUGAAAACCCAAGACAGAAAAAACUACGGGUAGAGAAGAAGAAUUCACUAUGAUCAAUAGUAAUUGUGUUUACAAGAUCUCAAUAUUUUCAACUAAGAUCUAAAGCUCUCAAGAUGUCGUAUAUUCUUUUGUUCUCGACAAUACAUGCCGUUUAUAUAUAUAUAUAUAACUCUAGAAACUAAGUUGUAAAUGAAUAGAAGUCUAAAACACAUUAAAAUGUGAAAAGUCGGAAAGCAUCGGCGUCAAGCGACAAGGAAGUGAGAAGCAAGCAACAAUUCUCUGUUGAGAAAUUCAAUGGUGAUGCUCGAGCGUCCAAAUGGCAAAGAUCUAGCGAAAAAGCAGCAAUAAAUUGUCCCGGUACAUAAGUUGAUUUUUCCUAAACCACUUCAAAUUAGAACUCCAAUACCCACUAUGCUCACACUACAACAACUUCGUUGCACUGUAAUCAGUUCUAAGUCCUCUUCAAACCAAUCCUAUCGAGAUAAACCAUGAUCCAGAUGACUUCUUUUUAGUUUAUCGGAUGCAAUUCCCCUAACAAAUGACAUGGAUAAUGGCAUUCAAAGAAGUUCCAAUCUCCAAUUUCUUUGCGGUCAUAAUUUCUUUGCAAUCUUCAACUUCUUCGCAGUGAUAAUUUCCAAUUUAUAAAAAAAAUUCUUUACACAUAAAUUUCAAAGGUAUUCAAAAAACUUUCAAACCAGAAGUUGCAAAAGUUUUCUAUCAACAAAAACAUAAACGCAGAACUUUAGAAGAACAUUUUGCUUGAACUUUCUACCCAUUUAUUUCCAUUUUGGGUACUCCAAUUCACAUGGCCACAAAACACCGAAAAAAUAAUAAAAAUAAAAAUUGACAAAUGUUUUAGAAUUAACUCCAUGUGGUCUCUCCAUGUGUACGGUUACAACAAGCUUUGCGGUCCUUCGAUUGUGUGGCAAAAUGGAUUUGAGGAUUAGGGUUCAAAGAGGAUUUGGGCUUUCAAUUUUGGUAGCUUGGAUUCUCGAUUCACGAUUUGAAUUGAAAUAAUCGAGGCUUGUUUGGGAGUUAAUGACCUGGCAUUUCA
RNAcentral lists this long non-coding RNA (1279 nucleotides) under Olea europaea (common olive). Its description in RNAcentral is "long non-coding RNA (OEUR_LNC003539)". Lineage: Eukaryota; Viridiplantae; Streptophyta; Magnoliopsida; Lamiales; Oleaceae. The record is from RNAcentral.